AAGGCUUGGAAAAGCCUUGGCUCAUUUUCUUGUUUGUCCCACAUUGCUUGUGGGAGGGAGUUUUCUCAUGUUUAUAUACUUCCUCCCUCCUUCCAUCUAUUGAGUUGUGACUAGAGAUGCUUUUGUGGUUGGAUGAUAUGUUGGGUUUGGGGUUGCUAUCACACGCGCGCCGCCCGGACCGAGCCAGGGCCAUGGGCUUUGGGCUUUGGGGAAUAAACUUAACUUAACUAAAGUUUUGGACCCGGGAGCUACGCGUAUGUGGCCGUUGGAAUUCUGUAACGUUUUACCGUUACAGUAUUCAUGGCAAUCCCUAAUUAUCCGCCCAUUGAUUUCUGUCUCCGUUUUUUGGCUUGAUUCUUCCCUAUAAAAUCAGAGCCAUUCUGUUCAGUCAGAGAUACACAAAAACAACAAACACUCUUCUCUCUUCUCUUCUCUUCUCUCUUCCUGGGUUUUCGUGCUAUUCUCUAAAGCUUAGUUUGCUAGUGGUGGCAUUCUGAGCUACUGUGUUAACCUUGGGGAGCAUUCCGGCCAAGAUCGAUAACCACCAGUGUCGGGCCGUAAUCGCUUUCAAGUCAGUGAUCUCCUAUCACGGCACAGUAUUUGAAAGCUUAUUUUCUGCCUUUGCGAACCGAUUAUUCCAACAGUUUUAAAUGCAACAAAUGAAUACACGUUUUAAUAAGGCUGACAAGUAACAAGCUGGCUGACUCGGUCUUGAGUAAUUCUUCCUCUAUGCAGGCUGAUCAAAAAGUAGUUAAGAAGCGGAAAACUGAACUUGGGGGAGCAUUCACAAUAGCUAGUUGGAUACUUUUCAUCGGUCUGCUUGUUGCGUGAGUAUAUAUAUCUACCUCUUUUCUUUCAGCACUAUAUCCACUACAAUAUCUCAUCAUUCCUACGUGGUUGCAUUUGGGAUAUGUACUUCGUCUGUUUUAAAUGCAAACAAAUGAAUAUCUUAUAUCUCACAAAUAAUACUCAUUUGUUGCAUUUAAAACGAAUCGGAUAAAGUAUAAGAAAUUGAGUUGAGUAGGGUCAAUAUAAACAUAAUAUACCAAAUGAAAAUGAGUAGUCAAAGUUCAUCAAAUUAAUAAAGGUUACAAAUAAUUCAUGACACCAAAAAGAAGGAAAAUGUUGGGAGUAAUUACUAACCUGGUAUCCAGUGAUGAAAUUUGGUACUAAUGAUGGUCAUGCAUUCAAAUAUAUGAAGCAAAAGAGGUAUACGAGGAUAGACAACAAGAAAAGGAGUACCAUGAGCUUAGUCCUUUAUUUCACAAAGUUACACUUAAAAAUUUAUAAUCAUUACCAUCAUUUAUUACCGUCUACCAACAUGAUGUGGUAGUCAAAUAUGCGGAAUUUGCUUAUUCUAGGGCGCUCUCACUCUCUGCCGUUAAUAACUGAGCCCAAUAGUGACUCAUUUUCUUUGAUCUUUCAAUAAUCCCAUCUCAAUUUCUUCUUUUCCUUGUAGACUACUAUACCAGAUAAUAGCAACACUUGGAGAAGAAGUGUAUAACAUGAGACCAACCAAUGCACCAGAUUUGAUAUCUUUCACCAAUGAUUUAGAGUUGAAUGUAACCACCAUUUCUAGCAUGAGUUGCUCUCAGUUACGCGGUCCAAACACCAUUGUUUUCGGCACCCCAGGCUCCCUAGAUCAUACCAUACUCCCAUUCUCAAACUUGGCUAACUAUUCGUGCCACAACUCCAGUAGAGGUCCAAUGCUGAAUAUCAGAUGCCAGAACUGUGCACUCACUUUCGAAGCUAUGUACAUUUCAUGGCAAUUUUUUGAUAUCGAAAACAAGUCCCCUGCAACAGCUGUUGGUUUCCAAUUCAAUUUCACAGCAAGAAACCGUGUUCAUGAGCAAGAAUAUGCAAAUUUUGUGAGUGGAACAAUAAAGAAUGGGAUGAAAUUAGAUAAUACAAGCAUCACAUAUAGAGGGGCUGAUGCACAGGUACUGAGAUUUAAUCUGUUUCCAAGGGUGCACCUUAAUCUGCACAGUCUUAAGCUUCUUCAGCCCUCAUUUCAUGGAUUUCGGCCUGGUUCUUUUGCUCGCGAUGAAAACAAACUCCAGUCAUUGCUUCAGAGUCCAAAAGAUGGAUUAAUCAACACUACAUUGGCGCUUCAUUUUCUGUCUGAAUAUCUGACUGAGAUUGAUGAUAAAAAAUAUGGUGGACCAGUGAGUUUUCUAGCGGAUAUUGGUGGCCUUUACUGCGUCAGUAUUACACUAUUUCUUUUGCUCUUGUUUCUGGUACAGUUGCUUUAACUCCUAAGGAUCUUUCCAUACAUUUUUCAUUUCACCUCACUCUUCAGUUCAUUUCUGUGUCAACUUAACUUCACCCCGUUCUUCUCUGGACUGCAUGCUUAGUGUGAAAUGCGCGUCAAAGGACUCCGCACUGAAGAUCAGAUUAUGCAAAACAUUAGGAAGCAAAGAGAUGCUGAGGAUCGUUGGCAUAAGGUGCUAUAUAUAUAUAUCAAUCUUUUUCAUUUCUCCUAUAUAUCUGUUCCCUGAUGUUUUUUUUCAUGGCUCGUUUGGUAGGUGGUAACAAAUAGGGGUUAUCAUAAUGAAUUUACAAGUAAUGUUGUUAAGACAAUCUCGUGUCAAUGUCCAAUUGUCCAUGAUAAUGCUUAUCACAAGUAUCUCAUUUUCGUCAUUAGUUUCUUUUUCCAAUAUUGAGUGUCAUAGGAUAUUUAUGAAGAAAAACAUGUUUGACAAUGAAUUUUCAUUACCUUUGCAUUGACAUGAAACUUUCAUCUCAUGAUCAUACGUGGAUUUAUUAUCAACUACCAAACAGAUCGUGAGGUGUGUAAACUAUUUCCAUGACUAAGACAGAUCUUCUUCAAUAACCUAGUUGCGUAGAUACGUUGCCUAUACUUAUGGUUGCCGCUUACUGGAUGAAGAUUACAAUAGGAAUGAACAGCCAACAUGUUGUUUUAGAAGAAAUGGAUUAUCUAUACACAGAGUUAUACAACGUGAGAUUAACAUUCAGUCUUUUGGAUUCAAGAGACAACUUCAGCCAACCACUGAAAAGGUUCUAAAAGAUGCAUCUACCAGAAAAGGAGUAAAAACCAUCAAAACCUUCACAUCAGAUACCCUUUUGCCAGAGUCGUCUUUACAUGCACUAAAGGUUGGAUUGCCUACGGAUGUAUUGAUUCUGCAAAGGGAACUUCGCGAUGCGUAUGAAUACAAUGCAAAGCUGAGAAACAAGUUGAUUAGUGCUGAGAGUAGGCUUGCUGAUUUAACAGCACACACUGCAUUGGCAAAGCCAAGGGGGCUUUGAAAUCUGUAUUUGCUAGUUGCUAGAAAGUAGAUUUCUUAGAGCCAUGAAAAUGUGUCCGAGUGCAUCUUAAGGGAAGUCGUCCUUAUUUGGUGCAUAUAUUUUGGUUUGGAAAGCUAGAUGUCAUAUAUGGUCAUUAUAAUUAGACACAACUUCUAUCACUUUUUAUUUUGUUACCUACAAAUCUGCUUCUUGAUCUAACAAGCUAAGCGUGAUGAAACAAAAAAGGUUGAUGUUAGGGUAAAAUUUAGUUUAGGCCUAUAGUGUUCUAAUU
Molecule: long non-coding RNA, 3538 nt
Organism: Beta vulgaris subsp. vulgaris (sugar beet)
Lineage: Eukaryota; Viridiplantae; Streptophyta; Magnoliopsida; Caryophyllales; Amaranthaceae
Exons: 4
Source: RefSeq, a predicted model, not a curated record